Molecule: ribosomal RNA, 497 nt
Filed under: uncultured bacterium
Lineage: Bacteria
Description: partial 16S ribosomal RNA
Rfam family: Bacterial small subunit ribosomal RNA
Source: RNAcentral
GAUGAACGCUGGCGGCGUGCCUAAUACAUGCAAGUCGAGCGAACAGACGAGGAGCUUGCUCCUCUGACGUUAGCGGCGGACGGGUGAGUAACACGUGGAUAACCUACCUAUAAGACUGGGAUAACUUCGGGAAACCGGAGCUAAUACCGGAUAAUAUAUUGAACCGCAUGGUUCAAUAGUGAAAGACGGUUUUGCUGUCACUUAUAGAUGGAUCCGCGCCGCAUUAGCUAGUUGGUAAGGUAAUGGCUUACCAAGGCAGCGAUGCGUAGCCGACCUGAGAGGGUAAUCGGCCACACUGGAACUGAGACACGGUCCAGACUCCUACGGGAGGCAGCAGUAGGGAAUCUUCCGCAAUGGGCGAAAGCCUGACGGAGCAACGCCGCGUGAGUGAUGAAGGUCUUCGGAUCGUAAAACUCUGUUAUUAGGGAAGAACAAAUGUGUAAGUAACUAUGCACGUCUUGACGGUACCUAAUCAGAAAGCCACGGCUAACUACGUG